UAGGGAAAGCUCGCUUUUCUGAGACCGGCGCACGGGUGCGUAACGCGUAUGCAAUCUACCUUUCACAGAGGGAUAGCCCAGAGAAAUUUGGAUUAAUACCUCAUAGUAUUAUAGAAUGGCAUCAUUUUAUAAUUUAAAGAUUUAUCGGUGAAAGAUGAGCAUGCGUCCCAUUAGCUAGUUGGUAUGGUAACGGCAUACCAAGGCAACGAUGGGUAGGGGUCCUGAGAGGGAGAUCCCCCACACUGGUACUGAGACACGGACCAGACUCC
This 269-nucleotide ribosomal RNA is filed under the name unidentified marine bacterioplankton. Its description in RNAcentral is "partial 16S ribosomal RNA". It matches the Rfam family "Bacterial small subunit ribosomal RNA", at positions 70 to 339 of the family's 1533-position model. The record is from RNAcentral.